This 468-nucleotide ribosomal RNA is filed under the name uncultured bacterium. RNAcentral describes it as "partial 16S ribosomal RNA". It matches the Rfam family "Bacterial small subunit ribosomal RNA", at positions 28 to 507 of the family's 1533-position model. The record is from RNAcentral.
GACGAACGCUGGCGGCGUGCUUAACACAUGCAAGUCGAACGGAAAGGCCCUGCUUUUGUGGGGUGCUCGAGUGGCGAACGGGUGAGUAACACGUGAGUAACCUGCCCUUGACUUUGGGAUAACUUCAGGAAACUGGGGCUAAUACCGGAUAGGAGCUCCUGCUGCAUGGUGGGGGUUGGAAAGUUUCGGCGGUUGGGGAUGGACUCGCGGCUUAUCAGCUUGUUGGUGGGGUAGUGGCUUACCAAGGCUUUGACGGGUAGCCGGCCUGAUAGGGUGACCGGCCACAUUGGUACUGAGAUACGGCCCAGACUCCUACGGGAGGCAGCAGUGGGGAAUAUUGCACAAUGGGCGGAAGCCUGAUGCAGCAACGCCGCGUGCGGGAUGACGGCCUUCGGGUUGUAAACCGCUUUCGCCUGUGACGAAGCGUGAGUGACGGUAAUGGGUAAAGAAGCACCGGCUAACUACGUG